GUUGAUAAAUCUCGACCAGCAAGAGGACAAGGCGAAACCCCAAUGACCAAUGCCCAAUGCCCAAUCUCCAAUCCACAAUCCCCGAUCCCCACUCAAUCCAAUCCAAUACAGUCCCCCGGAUGCCAAUAUAUAUUACGACAGGGGGACUCUCACUGGCCAUUUGUUUGGCAUCCCAUCGCGAGACGAAACUAAUAAAAAUCAUAAAAAGUUUUCCGCUUAGCGUUGCCAUUAAGAUGCCUGCCCGCCCCUCGAAGAUUGUUAUUAUUAUUAGUAUUAUUUGAGUGUGCCUCAGCUCUGUCCUUGGCUCACUUACACUUUCACUUUCUUCCACACGCACUUUCACCUACCCGCGCGAUAAUGUUGCCACACUGAAAAUUAACUUAACUACUUACUGAAGAUGGGAAAUUUUAGGAGCCAACUUUGGGAUCGUUUUCACCGUCGAAAAGUUGCGUCAUGUUUACGAUUCGCCUGUAUUUGCAAAUACAGUCAUGGUCAAAAUUAUUUUCACAAAGUGCAUUUUUGUGCAUGGGUCACAAACAGUUGCUUGUGCAGCAAGUGGGGGGAGGUGAAAUGCAAAAAAACUUUUGCUUUUGCAAAUUCAAACCUAUGCAGAGUCAGAUGAAAGAAGAAUUGAAAAAAUAACUGUUCCUAUGCGCAAGGAAGAGGCAAAUGAAGAGAUCUUUAUCAGUUGUCAGAAGUAUUUGCACACGGUUUCGUCGCAUCACAAUUAUUUUCACAACGCAAUUUCUUCUUCAGUGAUUGGUUUAGAGUGACAAGUGCCGUUAUUAAAUAAAAUGCCCAAAACAAAAGAGUUAACAGUUGAGGCCCGGGCUGGUAUUGUUGCUAGGUUUAAAGCCGGUACACCUGCGGCCAAAAUAGCUGAAAUAUAUUAAAUUUCGCGUAGAACUGUCUACUACUUAAUAAAAAAGUUUGAUACAGUUGGCACAUUAAAAAAUAAAAAAAGAUCAGGCCGAAAACCUGUGCUGGACCAAAGGCAAUGCAGGCAAAUACUUGGAGUUGUGGCGAAGAAUCCUAGUGCCAGUCCGGUAAAAAUUGCCUUAGAAUCAAAAAAUACAAUUGGCAAACAAGUUAGUAGUUCUACAAUUCGUCGCAGGCUAAAAGAAGCUGAUUUUAAGACAUACGUUGUUCGCAAAACGAUUGAGAUCACACCAACCAACAAAACAAAACGUCUUCGAUUUGCGUUGGAAUAUGUUAAGAAGCCUCUUGACUUUUUGUUUAAUAUUUUAUGGACUGAUGAGUCUGCAUUUCAGUACCAGGGGUCAUACAGCAAGCAUUUUAUGCAUUUGAAAAAUAAUCAAAAGCAUUUGGCAGCCCAGCCAACCAAUAGAUUUGGUGGGGGCACAGUCAUGUUUUGGGGAUGUCUUUCCUAUUAUGGAUUCGGAGACUUGGUACCGAUAGAAGGAACUUUAAAUCAGAACGGAUACCUUCUUAUCUUAAACAACCAUGCUUUUACGUCUGGAAAUAGACUUUUUCCAACUACUGAAUGGAUUCUUCAGCAGGACAAUGCUCCAUGCCAUAAGGGUAGGAUACCAACAAAAUUUUUAAACGACCUUAAUCUGGCGGUUCUUCCGUGGCCCCCCCAAAGCCCAGACCUUAAUAUCAUUGAAAACGUUUGGGCUUUUAUUAAAAACCAACGAACUAUUGAUAAAAAUAGAAAACGAGAGGGAGCCAUCAUUGAAAUAGCGGAGAUUUGGUCCAAAUUGACAUUAGAAUUUGCACAAACUUUGGUAAGGUCAAUACCAAAAAGACUUCAAGCAGUUAUUGAUGCCAAAGGUGGUGUUACAAAAUAUUAGUAUUGUAUUUAUAUAAAAUAAAGAAAUUCUUAUGUUGAAAUUAGAUGUUAAGCUGAAAUUUACUAAAUUAAGUUGAGUGAAAAUACUUUUGAAGCGCAAUAAACAUGUGAAAAUACUAUUGACAA
Long non-coding RNA from Drosophila simulans, 1939 nucleotides. RefSeq lists it as uncharacterized. The record is from RefSeq and is a predicted model, not a curated record. Lineage: Eukaryota; Metazoa; Arthropoda; Insecta; Diptera; Drosophilidae. The transcript has 2 exons.